UACAGAGGGUGCAAGCGUUGUUCGGAAUUAUUGGGCGUAAAGAGCUCGUAGGCGGUUUGUCGCGUCUGCUGUGAAAACGCGAGGCUCAACCUCGCGCCUGCAGUGGGUACGGGCAGACUAGAGUGCGGUAGGGGAGAUUGGAAUUCCUGGUGUAGCGGUGGAAUGCGCAGAUAUCAGGAGGAACACCGGUGGCGAAGGCGGGUCUCUGGGCAGUAACUGACGCUGAGGAGCGAAAGCGUGGGGAGCGAACAGG
This 253-nucleotide ribosomal RNA is filed under the name uncultured bacterium. RNAcentral's name for it is "partial 16S ribosomal RNA". It matches the Rfam family "Bacterial small subunit ribosomal RNA", at positions 524 to 776 of the family's 1533-position model. The record is from RNAcentral.